CUCUGGUGUACCAGUUGUCGUGCCAACGGCAUAGCUGGGUAGCUAUGUGUGGACGGGAUAAGUGCUGAAAGCAUCUAAGCAUGAAGCCCCCCUCAAGAUGAGAUUUCCCAACUUCGGUUAUAAGAUCCCUCAAAGAUGAUGAGGUUAAUAGGUUCGAGGUGGAAGCAUGGUGACAUGUGGAGCUGACGAAUACUAAUCGAUCGAAGACUUAAUCAAAA
Molecule: ribosomal RNA, 218 nt
Filed under: Staphylococcus aureus
Lineage: Bacteria; Bacillati; Bacillota; Bacilli; Caryophanales; Staphylococcaceae
Description: partial 23S ribosomal RNA
Rfam family: Bacterial large subunit ribosomal RNA
Source: RNAcentral